This 394-nucleotide long non-coding RNA is filed under the name Nicotiana benthamiana. RNAcentral describes it as "long non-coding RNA (NBEN_LNC002810)". Lineage: Eukaryota; Viridiplantae; Streptophyta; Magnoliopsida; Solanales; Solanaceae. The record is from RNAcentral.
CUACAAGGUAUAAGUUAUCCCGAUACUAAUUUUAAUCUCAAGAUAACUUGUACCAAAUUUGCUAACCAAAGUAAAGUAUUAAGGUGGUAUAAAAUUUUUAUACCAACACUUUAUCUACUUAUACCUCAAACCAAACGGCCCCUUAAAAAAAUUAUAAUAUUUCUUAUAAGUAAAAAUAAAUAAAGAUAACGGAUAGAAGACAUGCGCCAAGGGAAAAGGUAGCGCAGAUAAAUGACUAGAACAACAAAGAUGAGUUAUCCUUUUCAAGAGAUACGAUAGCAUCUGAUAUAUAGUAGUAAUAGAGAAAAAGAUGUAAUGAGUACCUGAUUUUUGGAUAAACCAGUCUGCCUAGACAACAAAUGCUUGUCUGCUUCACUUGGAUACCUGAAUACAC